UUAAACCCAGUUUUGCACCAGCCAAUGGGUGGAUGACAUGUAGGCACUUUAGGAAAAGCUUCCAUGAACUCGCAUGCAUGCUGAUUCCCCCUCUGUUCUUCUGAAAUCUCUCUCCCUCCGAAUCCCUCUCCCUCCCUCCCGCAUCUCUACACGCAUCAUUUUCUUCUCAGAAAAAUACCCCAUCCACGACGCACAACAAUUCACAAACUCAUGCCGGAACGCCCACCACGACUCAUGACGGAAGCUCCACUCGCCGUGACGCACACGACCUGCACUCAUCUUCAAGAUUGACGGAAGAGAUGGGGAGGGAGGGAUAUUUCAGAAGAAAAGAGGGGGAAUCGGCAUGCACGCGAGUUCAUGGAAGCUUUUCCUAGAGUGCCUACGUGUCGUCCAUCUACUGGUUUGGUGCAAAACUAGGUUUGAUACCCAUCCGAUCAGCUUACGCGCACCUCAAUUAAUCUCACAGGACCUUGAAGCUAACGGUCAAGUAAACCUUCAGUAGCUCUGAGGGGAGUCGAACUAGUGAACAUUGGAGAGCACCCAAGGCCUGACCAAUUGAGCUACCCCUCAAGGUUAAAAAAAAAAAAAAAAUUGAUUAAUAUUUGAUAAAUAUCUAUCUAAAGUACUUUUAUAAUUAGUUACAUUGGUGUAUGUUUGGGAUUACGGUGGAAAAUAUAACUUAUAACUUUAAGACUUAUAACUUAAAUAAUAAACUCUAUACUUCAAAAAUUGUCUACUGUUUGAUAAACAUGUAUCUAAAAUAUUUUGAAGUUAGUUACAUUAAGUUUUUGAAAGUAUACAGUUAUAUGCAUGAGUUUUUUUAUAAAAAUUUCAAUUUGGUACUAUUUAAAAAAUUAGACUUUCGACUUUUUUCGGUGAUUUAAAUCACUUUUUAUAAAUUUAUCAAAUAUAUCAUUUUUUUCUUUAAAAUAGCUUUUAAAAAAUUAAAAGCACUUUUUAAGCUUUCAAACUCAAUCCCAAACAGGUUCUAAGCAUUUAAAUAUUAAAAGUCUCAUUAUUUUAGGUGUAGUUUAGAUAAUAAAACGAGAUGAGAUGGUUUUAUAUGAAAGUUGAAAAUUGAAUAAAAUAUUGUUAAAAUAUUUUUUUAAUAUUAUUAUUGUUUUGAGAUUUGAAAAAGUUAAAUUGUUUAUUAUAUUUUAUAUAGAAAUUUGAGAAAAUUAUAAUAAUGAGAUGAGAUGAAAUUAUUUAUGUAUUCAAACUAAGUCUUAGUGAAUUAAUUUGUGAAUUAUGCCAGCUAAAAGAAAGGAGAUUUAUUAUUUAUUUGACUAAAUAUAUCAAGAAAAAUCUUAUUUAUAAGUUUUUGUAUAUAAUGCAUUUAUUAAAGUGUUUAUAUCAUAUGAUUUAAUUUGAAAAAUAAAUUUAAAAGAGUUUUGUUAUACAUAAACUGGUGUAUUAACACACAACUUAUAGCGGAACAUAUUAUAGCAUUGAAAAAAUAAAUUACCAAUCAUUUCAGCGGUAUGUUGGGUGUAUAAAAAAUAAAAUUUAUAAAUAGGUCUUCUUAUUUUAAAACUUAAAUCUUACAAAUUUAAUUUUAUCAUUUACAUAAUCUAGAUUAUAUGUUCUACACACCAGCUUGAUAAUUGAAUAACUCAUAUAUAUAUUAUUGAACCCAAGGUUUCAAGUUUUGUGUAAUUAUAUAUCCACACAUGAAUUUUGAUGAUAACAAAUGAAUUCAAAGAAUAAAGGAGUUUCAAACUCAAGUUGUUUACACGAUGGAAUCAAGCACAUCAAGGGAACAAGUAUGAGCAAAAAGGGAAUAAGAUCACAUUAAAGUCAUAGAGUAAUGUUGUAAAUCUCUUAAAAAUUCAGAAUUAGGAUUAAGGCUCAAAAUUAAUACUUUAUCAUAAAAUAUUAAAAUAUAUUU
Carya illinoinensis is the source of this 1888-nucleotide long non-coding RNA. RefSeq lists it as uncharacterized. The transcript is spliced from 3 exons. NCBI's taxonomy places the organism in Eukaryota, Viridiplantae, Streptophyta, Magnoliopsida, Fagales, Juglandaceae. The record is from RefSeq and is a predicted model, not a curated record.